RNAcentral lists this ribosomal RNA (253 nucleotides) under uncultured bacterium. Its description in RNAcentral is "partial 16S ribosomal RNA". It matches the Rfam family "Bacterial small subunit ribosomal RNA", at positions 524 to 776 of the family's 1533-position model. The record is from RNAcentral.
UACAGAGGUCCCGCGCGUUGUUCGGAUUUAUUGGGCGUAAAGGGUGCGUAGGCGGCGGAGUAAGUUGGGUGUGAAAUCCCGGGGCUUAACCUCGGAAUUGCAUUCAAUACUGCUUCGCUUGAGUACUGGAGAGGAGGCUGGAAUUUACGGUGUAGCAGUGAAAUGCGUAGAUAUCGUAAGGAAGGCCGGUGGCGAAAGCGAGCCUCUGGACAGUUACUGACGCUGAUGCACGAAGGCCAGGGGAGCAAACGGG